RNAcentral lists this long non-coding RNA (307 nucleotides) under Triticum aestivum (bread wheat). Its description in RNAcentral is "long non-coding RNA (TAES_LNC017109)". The record is from RNAcentral. Lineage: Eukaryota; Viridiplantae; Streptophyta; Magnoliopsida; Poales; Poaceae.
UCGAAUGAUAGAUUUGUCGGCUUCUCUCUUCCAUCAAGUAUACGCUCAAGGGCCUCAAGAUCCAUGUAUCUGCUCUGCAAUCCAUUUCAGAAUAUGCACUUUCAACACUAACAAGAAACAAAAGUUUGUUUCUACUAGAGAGCACCAUUCCAUGGAGAAUUGACGUUUGACUAGAUCGCUCGUACCUUUCUAUAGCAGCAUAUGGUAGUUGUGCAAGAAAGUUGUCUGCAGUAAAUCACUGAAGCGCCAACAAAUAUUUAGCACAAACCGGAACUGAAACACAUUGCCCACUGGUGUAAUAAAACCC